Molecule: ribosomal RNA, 459 nt
Filed under: uncultured bacterium
Lineage: Bacteria
Description: partial 16S ribosomal RNA
Rfam family: Bacterial small subunit ribosomal RNA
Source: RNAcentral
CCUACGGGAGGCAGCAGUGAGGAAUAUUGGUCAAUGGGAGAGAUCCUGAACCAGCCAAGCCGCGUGAGGGAAGACGGCCCUAUGGGUUGUAAACCUCUUUUGUCGGAGAACAAAACCCGGGACGUGUCCCGGACUGCGUGUAUCCGAAGAAAAAGCAUCGGCAAACACCGGGCCAGCAGCCGCGGUACUAUGGAGGAUGCGAGGGUUAUCCGGAUUUAUUGGGUUUAAGGGGUGCGUAGGCGGUCCGUUAAGUCAGCGGUAAAAUGGCGGGGCUAAACCCCGUCGAGCCGUUGAAACUGGCAGACUUGAGUGGGCGAGAAGUACGCGGAAUGCGCGGUGUAGCGGUGAAAUGCAUAGAUAUCGCGCAGAACACCGAUUGCGAAGGCAGCGUACCGGCGCCAGACUGACGCUGAGGCACGAAAGCGUGGGGAUCGAACAGGAUUAGAUACCCCAGUAGUC